Molecule: long non-coding RNA, 417 nt
Organism: Silurus meridionalis
Lineage: Eukaryota; Metazoa; Chordata; Actinopteri; Siluriformes; Siluridae
Exons: 3
Source: RefSeq, a predicted model, not a curated record
UUUCCAUCUGCAGCCGAUCGGGAACAGCAACGAGUGUGUGGGAAACUGGUCUGGAUGGACAGAGGUCACCUCCUUUCCCUUCUCCAUUAGGAGUUCUCGAUGUACUCCAGAGCUACGUCGUAACAGAACCGGCUCUUCACGGCGUGAAACACGUCCACAACGUUCUGCCUCUUGAUCAUCUCGCACACGAUGGUGACUGCUGAGAAAACCCCACUGCGCCCCCCGCCAUUCCUACACCGAACACAGAGCGGAUCAGCUUCAGGAACGAGCGCUUGGAGGCAGGAACCUCUCGCAGCCCUGCCCACCCCAGGUAUUGGAAAUGACGGACCAUGAGGUAGCCCUCUUGUGGCUGAAACACCCACACACACGCACACUUAUAACUAAACACGUUUGCAAAUAAAUGGUUUCGAAAUGAAA